This 304-nucleotide ribosomal RNA is filed under the name uncultured bacterium. RNAcentral describes it as "partial 16S ribosomal RNA". It matches the Rfam family "Bacterial small subunit ribosomal RNA", at positions 506 to 807 of the family's 1533-position model. The record is from RNAcentral.
CAGCAGCCGCCGCGGGAAUACGAAGGGUGCAAGCGUUAAUCGGAAUUACUGGGCGUAAAGCGUGCGUAGGCGGUGAGUUAAGUCUGCUGUGAAAUCCCCGGGCUCAACCUGGGAAUGGCAGUGGAUACUGGCUCGCUAGAGUGUGUCAGAGGAUGGUGGAAUUCCCGGUGUAGCGGUGAAAUGCGUAGAGAUCGGGAGGAACAUCAGUGGCGAAGGCGGCCAUCUGGGACAACACUGACGCUGAGGCACGAAAGCGUGGGGAGCAAACAGGAUUAGAUACCCGGGUAGUCCCUGUCUCUUAUAC